RNAcentral lists this ribosomal RNA (253 nucleotides) under uncultured bacterium. RNAcentral describes it as "partial 16S ribosomal RNA". It matches the Rfam family "Bacterial small subunit ribosomal RNA", at positions 524 to 776 of the family's 1533-position model. The record is from RNAcentral.
UACGUAGGGUGCAAGCGUUGUCCGGAAUUAUUGGGCGUAAAGAGCUCGUAGGCGGUCUGUCGCGUCGGAUGUGAAAACUCGGGGCUCAACCCCGAGCCUGCAUUCGAUACGGGCAGACUAGAGUUCGGUAGGGGAGACUGGAAUUCCUGGUGUAGCGGUGAAAUGCGUAGAUAUCAGGAGGAACACCAGCGGUGUAGACGGGUUGCUGGGCUGACACUGACGCUGAUGCGCGAAAGCCAGGGGAGCGAACGGG